Molecule: ribosomal RNA, 292 nt
Filed under: uncultured bacterium
Lineage: Bacteria
Description: partial 16S ribosomal RNA
Rfam family: Archaeal small subunit ribosomal RNA (bases 44-292)
Source: RNAcentral
GUUCCCUCCUCCUCUUUCCUCCCUUCCUCUCCCGUGAUGUCCCAUAUUAUUGGGCCUAAAGCGUCCGUAGCUGGCCGACCAAGUCUCCCGGGAAAUCCACCCGCCCAACGGGUGGGCGUCCGGUAGAAACUGGCCGGCUUGGAACCGGAAGGCUCAGAGAGUACGUCCGGGGUAGGAGUGAAAUCCCGUAAUCCCGGACGGACUACCGAUGGCGAAAGCACUCUGAAAAGACGGCUUCGACAGUGAGGGACGAAAGCUCGGGUCUCAAACCGGAUUAGUACCCGAGUAGUCC